AUUGAACGCUGGCGGCAGGCCUAACACAUGCAAGUCAAGCGGGGUUUUCGGACCUAGCGGCGGACGGGUGAGUAAUGCGUAGGAAGCUGCCCGAUAGAGGGGGAUACCAGUUGGAAACGACUGUUAAUACCGCAUAAUGUCUACGGACCAAAGUGUGGGACCUUCGGGCCACAUGCUAUCGGAUGCGCCUACGUGGGAUU
RNAcentral lists this ribosomal RNA (200 nucleotides) under uncultured bacterium. RNAcentral's name for it is "partial 16S ribosomal RNA". It matches the Rfam family "Bacterial small subunit ribosomal RNA", at positions 30 to 242 of the family's 1533-position model. The record is from RNAcentral.